Molecule: non-coding RNA, 77 nt
Organism: Henosepilachna vigintioctopunctata
Lineage: Eukaryota; Metazoa; Arthropoda; Insecta; Coleoptera; Coccinellidae
Source: the annotation of a GenBank genome assembly
GCCGAUCUCCGUGGCUUAGUCGGGAGAACACCUGAUUGUGGUGCAGUAGGACUCGGGUUCGAGUACCGGCGAAGGCU